AGACUACGAGAGGGAGAAGAGGAGGGCCCCGUUGAUAUGGUGAGCCUGAACCACAUGACCCACCAUGCCACUCUCUCCCUCGAAAGAUGGUCACCAGUACUUUCCCAACCAGCCCGCCCCUCUGAUAAGCAGCAGUGUGUGAGAGAACGGAGCGCCAGUACUCAGUCUGUGGAGGCCAUGCACAUGGUCUGUGACGAAGAGGAACCUGUGACCAGGCAACCAGAACAACAUGUUGCCCGGCAACCAUAACAAAGACCCUCUGAACAACCUGCCCGGCCCGCUUGGACAGAGCAGAUUGGGAGUUGCAGUGAAGUUCUGCCAAAGAUUUUCUACGAUGAGAUAAGAAUACCUAGACCUUACCUCUCGAACAAUUCUCUGAUAUCACAUCAAAAUGUUAAUUUGUUUUUAUGUGAGAUUAGAACCUUAAAUUAAAAUGUUUUAUUUUUCAAAGAAAAUGAAAAUUUGCCCUCACUCCUAA
Bolinopsis microptera is the source of this 478-nucleotide long non-coding RNA. RefSeq lists it as uncharacterized. NCBI's taxonomy places the organism in Eukaryota, Metazoa, Ctenophora, Tentaculata, Lobata, Bolinopsidae. The record is from RefSeq and is a predicted model, not a curated record. The transcript has 2 exons.